Molecule: ribosomal RNA, 465 nt
Filed under: uncultured bacterium
Lineage: Bacteria
Description: bacterial SSU rRNA
Rfam family: Bacterial small subunit ribosomal RNA
Source: RNAcentral
ACCUACGGGGCGCAGCAGUCGAGAAUAAUUCACAAUGGGGGCAACCCUGAUGGUGCAACGCCGCGUGGAGGAUGACGGUCUUCGGAUUGUAAACUCCUGUCAUCUGGGAGUAAGACCUGGGCAUUAAUAGUGCACAGGGUUGAUAGUACCAGAAGAGGAAGGGACGGCUAACUUCGUGCCAGCAGCCGCGGUAAUACGAAGGUCCCGAGCGUUGUUCGGAAUCACUGGGCGUAAAGGGAGCGUAGGCGGCGUGGUAAGUCAGAUGUGAAAUCCUGGGGCUCAACCCCGGAACUGCAUCCGAUACUGCCGUGCUAGAGUAAUGGAGAGGUAGCUGGAAUUCACGGUGUAGCAGUGAAAUGCGUAGAUAUCGUGAGGAACACUCGUGGCGAAAGCGAGCUACUGGACAUUUACUGACGCUGAGGCUCGAAGGCUAGGGUAGCGAAAGGGAUUAGAUACCCCGGUAGC